CGCCUCUAGCAAAUAAGACAUAUAUUAGAGGUACUGCCUGCCCAGUGAUCAUAUUCAACGGCCGCGGUAUCCUGACCGUGCAAAGGUAGCAUAAUCACUUGUCUUUUAAAUAAAGACUAGUAUGAACGGCAAGACGAAAGUUUAACUGUCUCCCCUAUUUAGUCAAUGAACCUGAUCUCCUCGUACAAAAGCGAGGAUAAAACGACAAGACGAGAAGACCCUGUGAAGCUUAAAACACAAUCAACUUUACCAAAUAGCUAUGACCUAAUGUUUUUGGUUGGGGCGACCGCGGAGAAAAAAAUCCCCCGAGAUGAGGUACUAAGAAGACAAAUCUAAGUACUAGCACAUCUAGCACAUUUGACCCAAUUAACUUUGAGCAACGAACCAAGUUACCCCAGGGAUAACAGCGCAAUCCCCUCCAAGAGUCCAUAUCGACAAGGGGGUUUACGACCUCGAUGUUGGAUCAGAGCACCCAAACAGUGUAGCCGCUGUUAAUGGUUUGUUUGUUCAACAAUUAAAACUCU
This 524-nucleotide ribosomal RNA is filed under the name Herpele squalostoma. RNAcentral describes it as "partial 16S ribosomal RNA". It matches the Rfam family "Bacterial large subunit ribosomal RNA", at positions 1816 to 2597 of the family's 2925-position model. Lineage: Eukaryota; Metazoa; Chordata; Amphibia; Gymnophiona; Herpelidae. The record is from RNAcentral.